RNAcentral lists this long non-coding RNA (575 nucleotides) under Homo sapiens (human). RNAcentral describes it as "non-protein coding lnc-FAM133B-3:2". Lineage: Eukaryota; Metazoa; Chordata; Mammalia; Primates; Hominidae. The record is from RNAcentral.
CUAGAGUCUGGCAAAAGGCUGAGCAUGAAACUUCCAAUGGUGCCAGGCUUCCAGCAGGAGGAAUAGAGGCUGUGGUAAAGGAAACCGUUGGCAAAUGAAAGAAACCAGAAACUGUCACUACCCAUAACAACGAAACAACAAAAAAAUUUACAGAAAAGGAAGGGGAGACAAAGGAAAUUGUUUAAAGUGGUUGAAGCCUGUACAGUCUGAUGUGAUCAUUAGGCGUGAGGGUGCCGCAGCAUGGUGGUGCCUAAGACACUGACUCCAAUUUUCCAGUGAGAACAGGAAGGCUUUAAGCACCAAAGCCAUGCUGUCCAGUAAUACUGCUGAGCAAGAAAGCUUUUCUUGAAGGAAGAGAAUAGCGUUUAAUUGAGACUAUUUUUGUCAGUCUCCUAACAUGCUCCUCAGACCACUAAUAUGCAAAAGAACCUAAGGAUCUGGUCACCAAGUUACGUCAAAAGAGUUUACCCCAUAGUCCUUUUUACUGCCUUUUGCAGAACAAACGUUUAAUAAUGUCGCUAUUGUUCAUUGGUUAUCAAGAAAUAACUCAUUGUAACUCAGAAGUGCUUAGCAAA